UGGGUAACCUGCCUCAAAGAGGGGAAUAGCCUCCCGAAAGGGAGAUUAAUACCGCAUAAUAUGUUUAGGUCGCAUGACUUUAACAUCAAAGGAUUUUCUUUAGAAAUUCCACUUUGAGAUGGACCCGCGGCGCAUUAGCUAGUUGGUGAGGUAACGGCUCACCAAGGCAACGAUGCGUAGCCGACCUGAGAGGGUNAUCGGCCACAUUGGAACUUAGACACGGUCCAGACUCCUACGGGAGCAG
RNAcentral lists this ribosomal RNA (244 nucleotides) under uncultured bacterium. RNAcentral describes it as "partial 16S ribosomal RNA". It matches the Rfam family "Bacterial small subunit ribosomal RNA", at positions 118 to 347 of the family's 1533-position model. The record is from RNAcentral.